GUGGGCUACGGCGACAUGGCCCCGGUCACCGUGGGCGGCAAGAUCGUGGGCUCCCUCUGCGCCAUCGCCGGCGUGCUCACCAUCUCCCUACCCGUGCCCGUCAUAGUCUCCAAC
Molecule: non-coding RNA, 114 nt
Organism: Erinaceus europaeus (western European hedgehog)
Lineage: Eukaryota; Metazoa; Chordata; Mammalia; Eulipotyphla; Erinaceidae
Source: Rfam